UGGGGAAUCUUGGACAAUGGGCGCAAGCCUGAUCCAGCCAUGCCGCGUGAGUGAUGAAGGCCCUAGGGUUGUAAAACUCUUUCGUGGGGGACGAUAAUGACGGUACCCCAAGAAGAAGCUCCGGCUAACUUCGUGCCAGCAGCCGCGGUAAUACGAAGGGGGCUAGCGUUGUUCGGAUUUACUGGGCGUAAAGCGCGUGUAGGCGGGCUGGAAAGUUGGGGGUGAAAUCCCGAGGCUCAACCUCGGAACUGGCUCCAAAACUUCCAGCCUGGACUCAAGUAGAGGCAAGUGGAAUUGCGAGUGUAGAGGUGAAAUUCGUAGAUAUUCGCAGGAACACCAGUGGCGAAGGCGACUUGCUGGACUUGUAGUGACGCUGAGACGCGAAAGCGUGGGGAGCAAACAGGAUUAGAUACCCACGUAGUCCCUGAGCGGGCUGGCAAGGCGCAU
Molecule: ribosomal RNA, 447 nt
Filed under: uncultured bacterium
Lineage: Bacteria
Description: bacterial SSU rRNA
Rfam family: Bacterial small subunit ribosomal RNA
Source: RNAcentral